RNAcentral lists this unclassified non-coding RNA (297 nucleotides) under uncultured Entoloma. Its description in RNAcentral is "sequence contains ITS2". The stretch from base 1 to 52 matches the Rfam family "5.8S ribosomal RNA", at positions 103 to 154 of the family's 154-position model. Lineage: Eukaryota; Fungi; Basidiomycota; Agaricomycetes; Agaricales; Entolomataceae. The record is from RNAcentral.
AACGCACCUUGCGCUCCUUGGUAUUCCGAGGAGCAUGCCUGUUUGAGUGUCAUGAAAUUCUCAACCUGUCGUACUUUCACAAGUUCGUCAGGCUUGGAUUAUGGGACUUGCUGGUUUUUCCAAAAUCAGCUCUCCUCAAAUGCAUUAGCAUAAUCUCUGCUGACCAUCUUUGGUAUGAUAAUUAUCUAUACUAUUGAGAGUUAGUUUUCCGUCUUGGAAGGAUUUUGCUUCUAAUUGUCUUUGCAGACAACUUGACAAUUUGACCUCAAAUCAGGUAGGACUACCCGCUGAACUUAA